Molecule: long non-coding RNA, 2841 nt
Organism: Dreissena polymorpha
Lineage: Eukaryota; Metazoa; Mollusca; Bivalvia; Myida; Dreissenidae
Exons: 2
Source: RefSeq, a predicted model, not a curated record
AACACAGCUCUUGUUGUUAACUGCCUUUUUAGUCCCUUACCAGUGUUUCACUAAAGUCCGUGUACUUUGGACUCAUUUCAAGUUGACAUUUGAAGCUUUAACUUUGUAUGAUUCUAAAUAUGUGUCAAUGCUGUCGGUUGAAUUUUGAAAUAUGAAGUUUUUCAUUUUUUGUAGAUUAAAUAAUUUGUAAAAUGUUGCAGUUUAGUCAAUCAGUUUUAUAAGAUAUUGAGCUUUAGUUAUGAUGCAGAUUGUAAGAUUCUUAAUAUCUUUCAAUAUUGUGGAUAAGUUUUUGAGAUAUCAAGCUUUGAAUUUUAUGCAAAUUGUAUGAUUUAAAAUGUUUUAAUUUGUUGAUCAGUGUACUGAAGAUUGUAUACUUUUUAUAUGUUAUAAUUCUGUCUAUUGGUUUUCAAAAUGAAAGACUUUGAUUUUGUAAGUGCACUUUUAUCUCAUUAUGCCCCCCUUCGAAGAAGAUGGGGUAUAUUGCUUUGCUCAUGUCGGUCGGUCUGUCGGUAUGUCAGUCUGUCGGUCCGUCCACCAGGUGGUUGUCAGACGAUAACUCAAGAACGCUUGGGCCUAGGAUCAUGAAACUUCAUAGGUACAUUGAUCAUGACUCGCAGAUGACCCCUAUUGAUUUUGAGGUCACUAGGUCAAAGGUCAAGGUCACGGUGACCCAAAAUAGUAAAAUGGUUUCCGGAUGAUAACUCAAAAAUUCAUACGCCUAGGAUCAUGAAACUUCAUGGCUAGAUUGAUCAUGACUCGCAGAUGACCCCUAUUGAUUUUGAGGUCACUAGGUCAAAGGUCAAGGUCACGGUGACCCGAAAUAGUAAAAUGGUUUUCGGAUGAUAACUCAAGAACGCAUAUGCCUAGGAUCAUGAAACUUCACAGGUAGAUUGAUCAUUGCUCACAGAUGACCCUUAUUGAUUUUAAGGUCACAAGGUCAAGGUCACGGUGACCCGAAAUAGUAAAAUGAUUUUCGGAUGAUAACUCAAGAACGCUUUUGCCUAGGAUCAUGACACUUCAUAGGUACAUUGAUCGUGACUCACAGAUGACCCCUAUUGAUUUUCAGGUCACUAGGUCAAAGGUCAAGGUCACAGUGACAAAAAACGUAUUCACACAAUGGCUGCCACUACAACGGACAGCCCAUAUGGGGGGCAUGCAUGUUUUACAAACAGCCCUUGUUAAAGAUUCUUUUCUAGUGUUUAGUUUAUAUUUUAAGGCUGUUUGCAAACUCGAAGUGAAAACAGCUCUAGUACAAUUUGGUAAGGACAUGACAUUGCAUAUCUGAUUUAAAAAUGUACUUUGCUGGCAACGUGUAAUUUUCAGAAAUGUCUUAGUAAGUAAGACUGUUGUUUGCAAUCAAAAGGUAUGUGCUUCAAAUCCAGGAAAAUGCAUGUUUUUUGUCCAAAUUUAUGUCAAUUCAGACAUUGUUCUGUGUAAAUAUGGGGUUUGCUUGUAGGAUCAGUCUAUUUUUAUGUCCCCCACUAUAGUAGUGGGGGACAUGUUGUUUUUGCUCUGUCGGUCUGUUUAUUGGUUGGUUGGUCUGUUUAUGCCAACUUUAACAUUUUGCAAUAACUUGCAAUAUUGAAAGUAGCAACUUGAUAUUUGGCAUGCAAAUGCAUCUCCUGAAGCUGCACAUUAUCAUUGGUGAAAGGUCAAGGUCAUCCUUCAAGGUCAGAGGUCAAAUAUAUGUGCCCUUAAUCGCUCAUUUUAUGAAUACUUUUGCAAUAUUGUAGAUAGCAACUUGAUAUUUUGCAAGCAUGUGUAUCUCAUUGAGCUGCACAUUUUGAGUGUUGAAAGGUCAAGGUCAUCCUUCAAGGUCAGAGGUCAAAUAUAUGUGGCCCAAAUCGCUUAUUUUAUUAAUACUUUUGCAAUAUUGAAGAUAGCAACUUGAAAUUUGGCAUGCAUGUGUAUCUCAUGGAGCUGCAAAUUUUGAGUGUUGAAAGGUCAAAGUCAUCCUUCAAGGUCAGAGGUUAAAUAUAUGUGGCCCAAAUCGCUUAUUUUAUGAAUACGUUUGCACUAUUGAAGAUAGCAACUUGAUAUUUGGCAUGCAUAUGUAUCUCAUAGAGCUGCACAUUUUGAGUGGUGAAAGGUCAAGGUCAUCCUUCAAGGUCAAAUAUAUGGGUCAAAAUUGCUCAUGUUAUGUUACUUCUGCAAUAUUGAAGCUAGCAAUUUUAUAUUUGACAUGCAUGUGUAUCUCAUGGAGCUGCACAUUUUGAGUGGUGAAGGGUCAAGGUCAUCCUUCAAGGUCAAACGUUAUAUACGGGGACAUUGGGUUUCACAAACGCAUCUUGUUGUGUAUGUAAUUAAUUUUGCUUAAUUUUUGUGAUCCCCCGCCAACAGCGGAGGGAUAUUAAUUUGGCAUUGUCCGUCUUUCCGUCUGUCCGUCCGGCACUUUUGUGUCCGGAACCAUAUUUUGGAAGUGCUUUGGCAGAUUUCAUUGAAACUUGGUAUGAGUAUAUAUAUAUAUGGAUAAGAGGAUGAUGCACGCCAAAUGGCAUUGUACAUCCUUGAAUAAUAGCGGAGUUAUGACCCUUUGUAUUUGAAAAAAAUGCUUUUUUUGUGUGUCCAGAGCCAUAACUUGUAUCCAGAAGUAUAAUGGCGGGGGAUAUCAAUUCAACGAAUUUGCUUGUUAAAUCAGUUUUUAUUUUCAUGAUAAUCAUUUAGUUCGUAUUGCAACUUAUGAUGGAUUGUUACUACUAUCUCCAAUUAUUUGUUUGUCAUGGGUCCGUCACCAUUUAUCUCUUAUAUAAUACUUGAAUUGAGCAUUUCACAAUCUGACAAUCAUGCAUAUCAUUUAUUAGUUUCAUAAUAAAACGUCUGACAAGGGUCAGAUAAUUUUAA